AGUGAACGCUGGCGGUAGGCCUAACACAUGCAAGUCGAACGGCAGCACAGUAAGAGCUUGCUCUUACGGGUGGCGAGUGGCGGACGGGUGAGGAAUACAUCGGAAUCUACUUUUUCGUGGGGGAUAACGUAGGGAAACUUACGCUAAUACCGCAUACGACCUACGGGUGAAAGCAGGGGAUCUUCGGACCUUGCGCGAUUGAAUGAGCCGAUGUCGGAUUAGCUAGUUGGCGGGGUAAAGGCCCACCAAGGCGACGAUCCGUAGCUGGUCUGAGAGGAUGAUCAUCCACACUGGAACUGAGACGCGGUCCAGACUCCUACGUGAGGCAGCAGUGGGGAAUAUUGGACUAUGGGCGCAAGCCUGAUCCAGCCAUACCGCGUGGGUGAAGAAGGCCUUCGGGUUGUAAAGCCCUUUUGUUGGGAAAGAAAGGCAGCAGGUUAAUACCCCGCUGUUCUGACGGUACCCAAAGAAUAAGCACCGGCUAACUUCGUG
RNAcentral lists this ribosomal RNA (492 nucleotides) under uncultured bacterium. RNAcentral describes it as "partial 16S ribosomal RNA". It matches the Rfam family "Bacterial small subunit ribosomal RNA", at positions 29 to 507 of the family's 1533-position model. The record is from RNAcentral.